UACGUAGGGCGCAAGCGUUGUCCGGAAUUAUUGGGCGUAAAGAGCUCGUAGGCGGCCUGUUACGUCUGCUGUGAAAUCCCGGGGCUUAACCCCGGGCGUGCAGUGGAUACGGGCAGGCUGGAGGCAGGCAGGGGAGAACGGAAUUCCCGGUGUAGCGGUGAAAUGCGCAGAUAUCGGGAGGAACACCAGUGGCGAAGGCGGCUACCUGGCACAUAACUGACGCUGAUACGCGAAAGCGUGGGGAGCGAACCGG
RNAcentral lists this ribosomal RNA (253 nucleotides) under uncultured bacterium. RNAcentral describes it as "partial 16S ribosomal RNA". It matches the Rfam family "Bacterial small subunit ribosomal RNA", at positions 524 to 776 of the family's 1533-position model. The record is from RNAcentral.